GGUCUCAUAGCUCAGUGGGUAGAACAAUGGUCUUGUAAAUCUUAGGUCGUGAGUUCAAUUCUCACUGUGACCU
Phyllopteryx taeniolatus (common seadragon) is the source of this 73-nucleotide non-coding RNA. NCBI's taxonomy places the organism in Eukaryota, Metazoa, Chordata, Actinopteri, Syngnathiformes, Syngnathidae. The record is from the annotation of a RefSeq genome assembly.